AUUGAACGCUGGCGGCAGGCCUAACACAUGCAAGUCGAACGGUAACAGGAAGAGGCUUGCUUCUUUGCUGACGAGUGGCGGACGGGUGAGUAAUGUCUGGGAAACUGCCUGAUGGCGGGGGAUAACUACUGGAAACGGUAGCUAAUACCGCAUAACGUCGCAAGACCAAAGAGGGGGACCUUCUGGCCUCUUGCCAUCGGAUGUGCCCAGAUGGGAUUAGCUAGUAGGUGGGGUAACGGCUCACCUAGGCGACGAUCCCUAGCUGGUCUGAGAGGAUGACCAGCCACACUGGAACUGAGACACGGUCCAGACUCCUACGGGAGGCAGCAGUGGGGAAUAUUGCACAAUGGGCGCAAGCCUGAUGCAGCCAUGCCGCGUGUAUGAAGAAGGCCUUCGGGUUGUAAAGUACUUUCAGCGGGGAGGAAGGGAGUAAAGUUAAUACCUUGGCUUAUUGACGUUACCCGCAGAAGAAGCACCGGCUAACUCCGUG
This 490-nucleotide ribosomal RNA is filed under the name uncultured bacterium. RNAcentral's name for it is "partial 16S ribosomal RNA". It matches the Rfam family "Bacterial small subunit ribosomal RNA", at positions 30 to 507 of the family's 1533-position model. The record is from RNAcentral.